UCCUACGGGAGGCAGCAGUGGGGAAUAUUGGACAAUGGGGGCAACCCUGAUCCAGCAAUGCCGCGUGUGUGAAGAAGGUUUUCGGAUUGUAAAGCACUUUCGACGGGGACGAAGAUGACGGUACCCGUAGAAGAAGCCCCGGCUAACUUCGUGCCAGCAGCCGCGGUAAU
This 170-nucleotide ribosomal RNA is filed under the name uncultured bacterium. Its description in RNAcentral is "partial 16S ribosomal RNA". It matches the Rfam family "Bacterial small subunit ribosomal RNA", at positions 337 to 524 of the family's 1533-position model. The record is from RNAcentral.